UCUUCUAAGUAUUCGCUGUACAAACCAAACGAAACAGCGAUUUUAGCACGUGACUGACAUUUUCCAAGUUUGUUGUUAUAUUCGAGCGGACUUUUGCGUUCGCCAGCUGACAGCACGACGAAACUAUAAGCGCUCUAUCUCUUCGCUGAUCAUUUGCAAUUUUAUCUGUCUCGGAUAUCACGUAAAUGUACCGGGUGUCAUUCCAGUUUUAAUCGAUUUUUCUUUACUUUCUUUUUAACAGAAAUGAGGGACCAACACUCUAAAUUUCUAAAGGAUCAAAGAUCUCAACUAAACCUAAUUCACUCCUCCCGCUGCCCAGACAUAGAAUUUUGAAAUUAAAUACAAGGAACACUGAGAUAUUUUUUUAAGCGACCAGGUGAUUAAGCUUUCGUCAAGAACAGUUUCUCAAGAAUACACUUAUCACUAUCUAAAAGAUUCACAUAAUUUUUAUCAUAAUAAAAAUAAGCGACAAACUGAGGUCAUAGUAUCAACUGCAAUGCAGACGUCAGUGGGUAAACAACUAUAAUUGAUCGAUAUUGACAAGAAUCAGUCCUCUCCCCCCCCCGAGAUUCAGCCCUUAAUGAGCACUCGAGCUUUACCGAGAAGAAAAAAAAAAGAGAGACGUUACAGCAAAGCGCAAUUAGUGGAAGCAGCGGAUCAAUCAAUUUUGCAGUAAAACGCCGGAUGAUUCUGGCAAAUUCCCGAGGCGUCGAAGGGAGUUGAUAACAGAACUUGCGGACCUGCUACACGCGGGACAUAACGUACGUAUAUAAGUAUACGUGUGCGAUUACGCGUUUCUCUCGUCAGGUAAAAAUCAAUAACAC
Molecule: long non-coding RNA, 824 nt
Organism: Wasmannia auropunctata (little fire ant)
Lineage: Eukaryota; Metazoa; Arthropoda; Insecta; Hymenoptera; Formicidae
Exons: 4
Source: RefSeq, a predicted model, not a curated record